This 5291-nucleotide long non-coding RNA is filed under the name Sus scrofa (pig). RNAcentral describes it as "lncRNA (ENSSSCG00040065404.1)". Lineage: Eukaryota; Metazoa; Chordata; Mammalia; Artiodactyla; Suidae. The record is from RNAcentral.
CCGCAGGAACGACCCAAGAAAUAGCAAAAAGGACAAAAAAAAAAAAAAAAAAAAAAAAAAAAAGAAAUGUUAGGCAUAGUGUUCAUUCACUUAAAGAAAGUUAUAUUUAAUGAGGAAUACACAUAGCUAAUUGUUUAACAGACUGUAGCAUCAGUGUUUGUGAGUGUAUGUUGAGCUGAGAAAAGCCUAGCAUUUUACUUUAUUUUGCUUUUUAGGGCCACACCUGCAGCAUAUGGCAGUUCCCAGGCUAGGGGUUGAAUUGGAGCUGUAGCUGCCGGCCUACAUAACAGCCACAGCAAUGCGGGAUCCCAGAGACGUCUGUGACCUAUACCACCCCUCACGGUAAUGCUGGAUCCUUCCACCAAGCAGGGCCAGGGAUCAAACCCUCAUCCUUAUGGAUACUAGUUGGUUUAUUUUCCACUGUGCCACAAGGGGAAUUCCCAAGUCUAGCAUUUUAGCAAUGAAUAUAUGUAAAGAUCUUACCUUUUGCCUUUAAGUCGUUUUCUGAUAUUAGAUAUACAUAGAACUUUAUUACAAGCUAUAUGAAAGAAUUUAUAAGCCCAGCCCAACUAUAUUUCAGUGAAAAACUUAUAUGUGAAUCAUGCGUCUUGGGUUGUAUAACAGAGUUUUUCCCACACUAGAGUUAUAUAGAUGCCUCUUACAAGCUACAUGAAGGAAAUUUUUGGCACAUUCAUCAAUGAAAAAGUUAUAUACAGUGAGAAAUGCAUGUGGUGAAUUAUUUAACAGACCUAUAACUUCAAAGUUUCCAUGCAUGCACUGUAGUUAUGAAAAGAAUAGUUUUAUAAUAAGGAAUACAUAUAAAAAUCUUCUGUUUGCAGAUGAAGCUAUAUUUUCAGAUAUGAUAGAUUGUCAUUACAAGCCAUAUGAAAGAAAUUUUAGGCACAGUGUUCUUUCAGUGAAAGGAAAUUAUAUUCUGUGUCAUGCAUGUAGUAGACUUUAUAAUUUUGUAAUAACCUGUAGCUCUAAUGUUUAUAAAGCUACUUUGACUCUGCAUGAAGUCCAGUGUUCUAACAGCAAAUAGAUGUGAACACCUUUUGAGUCUGUGUAAUAAUGUUCUAAAUUUGAUAUAUAUUGAUGUUUGUUACAAGCUAUGUGAAAAAAUUUUGGACAGUGUUCUUUCAGCUAAUGGAGGUGUCCUGCAGCGAGUCUUAUUUAACAAAUUUGUAACACUUGUAAGUAGGAUUGCUUAGAAGCUACAGUAUGUUCAGUGUUCUAAUAGCAAAUGGAUAUGGAAGUCUUUCCCAUUGUAUAUAAAGAUUUGUCACACACACACAUACAUGUAUAUAAAAAUUAUAUAUAGAGUGUUAUAUGCAUACAUAUAGUGUAUAUAUAUGUGUAUGUGUGUGUAUAUAUAUAUGUUAUAUUAUUACAAGCUAAUGAAAGAAAUUUUUGACCUAUAUCACUACUUAGUUUCUAAGGCUACUUAGAAGCUGUGCUAAGCCCUGCGUUCUAACAGUGUAGGAAAUUGAAAUCCUUUCCCUUUAUCUGUAAAGGCUUGUUCACAUGUUAAUAUACAUAUUUGUCAUGAAAUUAAUUUUUGGCAAAGUGUUUUUUCAGUGAAAGGAGGUUGUACACAGUGAUCCAUGUCAGUGAACAGUUUAACAGUUAUAGAACACUUGUGUUUCUAAAGCCUUCUUUAAAUUUUUUCUUUUUAGGGCCACACCUGCAGCACAUGGAGGUUCUCAGGCUAGGGGUCUAAUCAGAGCUAUUCCUGCCAGCCUACGCCAGAGCCACAGCAGAGCAGCAUCCGAGCUGCAUCUGCAACCUACACUACAGCUCACGGCAACACCAUAUCCUUAACCCACUGAAUGAGGCCAGGGAUUGAACCCACAACCUCACGGUUCCUAGUCGGAUUUGUUUCCACUGCACCACGAUGGAAACUCCUCUAAAGCCUUUUAAUUCAAAGAGGAACCAAAGGAAAAAAAAACCCCCACAACUCCUGGGCUAUGCUGUAAAUUAAAAUGGGAUUUUACUAAAAUAACAUUCAAAUCUAUCAUGUGCUAUUUACAAUAAUAAAUAAUAGUCUUUCAAAAUAGGUAAAGGAGUCUUGGGAAUGAGGCAUCAGGGAGAUGGUGCCAGCUCACAUCAAGUCCCUAUGCUGCCUCUCUGCCACAGUGAAUGUCGCAUUGCCACUGGAUACACAUUUGCCCCUGAUUUUGAUGAGUGCCAAUUCUUCUUGGCCUUGAGUUUUCUUGCCCAGAUAGGACUUGGCCUCCAGCUAGCAGGACAAGAGGUAGGUAUAGGAGAGAGUGGUACCUGUGAGUUACCAGGAGCCACAAUUCAGGUGUCACUCACAGUGUCUGCCCAGCAGCUGGAAUUCCAGUGAUGGCCAUGCAACAAGGUCUGGGGAUGACCAAGAAGAUGUGAACUUGGGUUCUCUAAAUUGGCUGGUAGGGAGAGUCCACUCCACCUUCUCCCUUCUGCUCAGCCUCACCUCCCAUUCUCACUGAACCACUCCAUGUCUCAGAAUCAGACAUCAAAUUGCUCCUCAGGCUCCCUAUCUGUAGCCACCCAGAGCAACGUGAUCUCUGCCAUUACUGUGCAUUCCUGGGACCAGAGGGAAAGAGAUGAUGAAGGGGUGAGGAGAGAGGCAGGGCAUUGGUCCUGGGUCUUUGCACACAUGAGACUCUACCUUCCCUCCAUUUGCAUCGAGGCCCUACCUGUUCUCAGAAAUGGAAUAAAUUUCCUGCAGGAAAUUUUCCUUGGUGCCGUUCCUCAACCCACCCACCAGUUGGAUAGGUCUCCCACUCCUCUGUUAUUAAACUCUCCCUGUAAAUGUAAGGCACAGGGGAUGGAGACCUGGAGGUUUCUGCCCAGGGGUACUUCUGAUUUCUGUUCCCUUCCCCUCUUCCAUAGGAAGUGCCAAGCUCUUGCCUUAUUCUUUUUCUGGUGGUUGAUCUCAUUCUCCUCUAAGGUAGACAGACACCUGAAAGGGUCCCCUAGUCGUUACUAGCACCCUAUGCCCACCCUUUUCAUGUGGCACUACCAUCAGGCCUCACAAAGGGGCUGGGCUUGCCUAGAAAACGGGAUGUAAACCUUGGUCAGGUCGUGGCCCCCAAGAGCGUGGGACAUGGAGGCCGAGGCUCAGGGAUCUUGUAGCACAACCCUCAGUGACGACACUCAGGGAACCUGAGGCUUUAGGCUCCCUCUCUUCUUUGUUGCUGGACUUGUGGGUCCCCCAUAUCACUCUCACCCCAUGGACACCACCUGAAGGAGAGGCUAAGUCCAGCUUUGCGGUCAGGCAGAUCUACUGCUCUGCCAGCCUUGAAAACUGGGACCAGUGUGUAUUCUGUGGAGCCUCCUUUCACUCAUCUUUAAAAUGGACAUGAUGUCCCAGCUCACAGGGGUGGCGGGGAGCCUCUCCUCAGAGGUUUCCUGAGUGCUGACCAUUGAGGGCUCAGCAACAGGUCUCUCUCUUCCCAAACCUCAAUUCUGAUCCCCCUGGCCUAGCCCACAGGCCCCCUUACCUGGCCCAGAUAAUUCUCCCUCACCGGGCCCAGCAUGACCUGAUUAAUGAAGAUUGUGCUAAGGAAGGGGACAGACACCUGUGUCAUCAGGGAGGGGGGUGGGAUGAGCCUCUACUCCCAGAUUUGCCUGGGUCCCCUCUCUUGAAAACUCCUCACCCUCAGCUCCUGGCCUUGCCCCAGGUUUUCCUCAAGGAGCAGCCUAGGAGGAGCCUUAAUAAUCUCCUUUCAAUUUCCCUCCCCCCACCCUCCAAGAAUAUAAGACUCCUGUGCAGACCUUCUGUAGCAUCUUCUGGGCUUAAUGGAGGUUCACCAUCAAGGGGCGAACAUGGAGGGCUGCUCCUGUCAGGGCCGAGGACAGGGUCAUUGAGGCCAUACUACCCCCACCAACCUCCCAUUUUUGUCCAGUACCUGAGACCUCAGACCCUGACAUCUGAUCCAUGUUAGCUGAUACUCCAUUCUCCAGCAUGCUCUGAUUCUAGACUAAUCCCACCUCCAACACUCACUCAGUGUGUGCUUUUGGCCCUGCAGCCUGCCCCUGCCCCCCAUGAGCCUAUUUCUUCAUCUGAAAAGUGUGGGAAUCCCACCUACCACAAGGGUCUUCUGAAGACUCCACCCUUCACACUGUGAUGCUGUCAUCAUUGUUCUUGUAUCAGCCUGCAGCUGGAUCGGGACAGAAAGAACCUCACAUUCCUGUCUUCCCUUUCACCUCAUCGCCACCCUGUGAGGCCCGCACCAGAGGCUUAUUAUCCCUCCGCUUUCCAGAUGAGGAGGCAGAGGCCAAAGAGAUGCAGUGAGGCUUAGGGGUCCACAGAGGACAGGCUGCACCUCCUGUUAGCCAGAGGCCCUGUUCCAGCUUCCCUCAUCCACCCCAGUCCCACCUGGAAUGAGAUGUCCUGUCCACUUGACUCUCAAGUUUGUCCAGGCCCCUAUCUGAGUGGAGCUGUGGAUGGAGAGGGAUGGGGUGGUUGGAAGUCUGGUUUUAGUUCCCUGCCUGCCCCAGAUCCGCUGGAGCCUCUGCCACUCAGGCUGGAACCAAAGCCAUGCUGAUGCCUUCCCUGCCCCAGGAUCAGCUUAUAACAUUCCCCUGUAUAGCAGUUUCUUUUUAUCUACUCAGUAACAUAACCCCUGAGGUACCGCCUCUGACUGAUGGGGUAGGAGGUGACAGAAACUUUGCUUGCUCCUUUACAUGAAGCUUCUGAAGUCCUUUCAGGAAAGGUCCACUAAGAAUCCAUAAGAUGCUCAGACACUUCUCAUCAGCCACCUGGGGCAUGUGUCACAGUUAACUAGGCACCCAGGUGAGAAUCCCGACUGUGACUGACUAGCAGCAACUGUGUGCGGGGCACAGUGGGGAGUCACAGACGGCAUGUAUAUCUUGUCUCUAUUCCAGCCAUUUGCAUCAUACACCUGGCCCAUGGGCUUCAUACACCUGGCCCAUGGGCUUCCCCUGCAGUACCCAUCCUUGGGGCAAGAAGGAUGCACUACCCUUGGAGGUGUGGUGAGUACAGAGGAGCUGCAGGAACCUGGGUUCCUGAGAACAGACUGGGUUGGUUUAGGGAAGAAAGUUGCCUCCUCCCACCCAUCCAUUCAACAGCCUAGAAAAAGCUAAGUGCCAGCAGGAUGGACCAGCAUGGAAGCCAAAGAUCUGCUAGUUUUGUUAUCUCAGCCUCCCCUCCUAGAAUAGCCCAGCCAUCACUUGACCUCAUUACUAAGAUCUCCUGCCCUUCAACCUGACUUUGGACAAAACUCUCCUUCUUCCUCUUAAGCCAGAAAAUACUGGAAUUUUUCAAAGAAUCUUUAGGCAAG